CGAUGUGAGGGUGAUCUGGCUGCGACAUCUGUCACCCCAUUGAUCGCCAGGGUUGAUUCGGCUGAUCUGGCUGGCUAGGCAUGUGUCUCCUUCCUCCCUCACCACUCCAUGUGUGUCCCUCCCAAAGCUAUGUGCUAGGUCUAAGAGGACGGCCUUCCCUGAUUAGAGACGGAUGUGUCUUCUGGAGGGUAUACAAGUAGCUGCACUCCCCUGCUAGAACCUCCAAACAAGUUCUCAAGGAGGGUAAAUAGGCAAAGUAGUCAAAGGAAUCCAGCAAAAACUUUCUAACAUCACAUGAAUUUGUUUCAAAAUCGAAUCUUUAGUG
RNAcentral lists this small nuclear RNA (325 nucleotides) under Erinaceus europaeus (western European hedgehog). RNAcentral's name for it is "7SK RNA". It matches the Rfam family "7SK RNA". Rfam says of the family: 7SK was discovered as an abundant small nuclear RNA in the mid-70s but a possible function has only recently been suggested. Two independent studies have found that 7SK RNA binds the CDK9/cyclin T complex (known as elongation factor P-TEFb). P-TEFb activates transcription by phosphorylating the C-terminal domain of RNA polymerase II. Lineage: Eukaryota; Metazoa; Chordata; Mammalia; Eulipotyphla; Erinaceidae. The record is from Rfam by way of RNAcentral.